This 491-nucleotide ribosomal RNA is filed under the name uncultured bacterium. Its description in RNAcentral is "partial 16S ribosomal RNA". It matches the Rfam family "Bacterial small subunit ribosomal RNA", at positions 29 to 506 of the family's 1533-position model. The record is from RNAcentral.
AGUGAACGCUGGCGGUAGGCCUAACACAUGCAAGUCGAACGGCAGCACAGUAAGAGCUUGCUCUUACGGGUGGCGAGUGGCGGACGGGUGAGGAAUACAUCGGAAUCUACUUUUUCGUGGGGGAUAACGUAGGGAAACUUACGCUAAUACCGCAUACGACCUACGGGUGAAAGCAGGGGAUCUUCGGACCUUGCGCGAUUGAAUGAGCCGAUGUCGGGUUAGCUAGUUGGCGGGGUAAAGGCCCACCAAGGCGACGAUCCGUAGCUGGUCUGAGAGGAUGAUCAGCCACACUGGAACUGAGACACGGUCCAGACUCCUACGGGAGGCAGCAGUGGGGAAUAUUGGACAAUGGGCGCAAGCCUGAUCCAGCCAUACCGCGUGGGUGAAGAAGGCCUUCGGGUGGUAAAGCCCUUUUGUUGGGAAAGAAAAGCAGCAGGUUAAUACCCCGCUGUUCUGACGGUACCCAAAGAAUAAGCACCGGCUAACUUCGU